This 190-nucleotide ribosomal RNA is filed under the name uncultured bacterium. RNAcentral's name for it is "partial 16S ribosomal RNA". It matches the Rfam family "Bacterial small subunit ribosomal RNA", at positions 1311 to 1500 of the family's 1533-position model. The record is from RNAcentral.
CUCGCCUGCACGAAGUUGGAAUUGCUAGUAAUCGCGGAUCAGCAUGCCGCGGUGAAUACGUUCCCGGGUCUUGUACACACCGCCCGUCACACCAUGGGAGCUGGUAACACCCGAAGUCAGUAGUCUAACCGCAAGGAGGACGCUGCCGAAGGUGGGAUUAGCGACUGGGGUGAAGUCGUAACAAGGUAAC